GCCGGGCACAGUGGCACGUGCCUGUAGUCCCAGCUACUUGGGAGGCUAAGGUGGGAGGAUCGCUUGAGCCCAGGAGUUCUGGGCUGUAGUGUGCUAUGUUAAUCAGGUGUCCACACUAAGUUCGGCAUCAAUACGGUGACCUCCAGGAGCGGGGGACCACCAGGUUGCCUAAGGAGGGGUGAACCGGCCCAGGUCAGAAACAGAGCAGGUUAAAACUCCCAUGCUGAUCAGUAGUGGGAUCGCGCCUGUGAAAGCUACUGCACUCCAGCCUGGGCAAUAUGGCAAGACCCCAUCUCU
This 297-nucleotide signal recognition particle RNA is filed under the name Aotus nancymaae (Ma's night monkey). RNAcentral's name for it is "Metazoan signal recognition particle RNA (ENSANAG00000009892.1)". It matches the Rfam family "Metazoan signal recognition particle RNA". Rfam says of the family: The signal recognition particle (SRP) is a universally conserved ribonucleoprotein. It is involved in the co-translational targeting of proteins to membranes. The eukaryotic SRP consists of a 300-nucleotide 7S RNA and six proteins: SRPs 72, 68, 54, 19, 14, and 9. Lineage: Eukaryota; Metazoa; Chordata; Mammalia; Primates; Aotidae. The record is from RNAcentral.